AUACGUAGGUGGCAAGCGUUAUCCGGAAUUAUUGGGCGUAAAGAGGGAGCAGGCGGCAGCAAGGGUCUGUGGUGAAAGCCUGAAGCUUAACUUCAGUAAGCCAUAGAAACCAGGCAGCUAGAGUGCCGGAGAGGAUCGUGGCAUUCCAUGUGUAGCGGGGAAAUGCGUAGAUAUAUGGAGGAACUCCAGUGGCGAAGGCGGCGAGCUGGCCUGCAACUGACGCUCAGUCCCGAAAGCGUGGGGAGCAAAUAGGAUUAGAUACCCUAGUAGUCCACGCCGUAAACGAUGAGUACUAAGUGUUGGAUGUCAAAGUUCAGUGCUGCAGUUAACGCAAUAAGUACUCCGCCUGAGUAGUACGUUCGCAAGAAUGAAACUCAAAUGAAUUGGCGGGG
RNAcentral lists this ribosomal RNA (392 nucleotides) under uncultured bacterium. RNAcentral's name for it is "partial 16S ribosomal RNA". It matches the Rfam family "Bacterial small subunit ribosomal RNA", at positions 523 to 918 of the family's 1533-position model. The record is from RNAcentral.